GAGGGUACAGCUUAGUGGUAGAAUGCAUGCCUAACAUGCAUGAGGCCCUUCCUGGGUUCAAUCCCCAGUACUCCCA
RNAcentral lists this transfer RNA (76 nucleotides) under Camelus bactrianus (Bactrian camel). It matches the Rfam family "tRNA". From Rfam's summary of the family: Transfer RNA (tRNA) molecules are approximately 80 nucleotides in length. RNAcentral also lists the same sequence under 2 other names. The record is from Rfam by way of RNAcentral. Lineage: Eukaryota; Metazoa; Chordata; Mammalia; Artiodactyla; Camelidae.